AUGAGGGAGCAGGGGCGCCGGGGCGGCGUCAUCAGGUCGCUGCUCGGCGUCGCCAGGCUCGCGGAGGACGACGGCGCUGGCGCCGAGGAGGGCGGCUCGAAGAAGGAGGACGGCGGCGGCGCGGAGAGGAAGGCGGUGGUGCGGGUGGUGGCGGCCGACAUGCCGCCCGCGCUGCAGCGGCGCGCGUUCCGCUGCGCCCGCGACGAGCUCGCCGGGAUGCCGCACUUCCCGCGCCGCCUCGAGCCCAAGCGCCUCGCGCUCGCCCUCAAGAAGGAGUUCGACACCGCCUACGGGGCGGCUUGGCACUGCAUCGUGGGGACGAGCUUCGGUUCAUACGUCACUCACGCCAAGGGCGGGUUCUUGUACUUUUCUGUUGAUAAGGUCUACAUACUGCUCUUCAGGACGGCGGUGGAGCCCCCGCCCCAUUGA
Molecule: ribosomal RNA, 429 nt
Filed under: Triticum aestivum (bread wheat)
Lineage: Eukaryota; Viridiplantae; Streptophyta; Magnoliopsida; Poales; Poaceae
Description: partial small subunit ribosomal RNA
Source: RNAcentral